GGUUGCGAUCAUACCAGCACUAAUGCACCGGAUCCCAUCAGAACUCCGCAGUUAAGCGUGCUUGGGCGAGAGUAGUACUAGGAUCGGUGACCCCCUGGGAAGGCCUCGUGUUGCAACCU
This 119-nucleotide ribosomal RNA is filed under the name Helianthus annuus (common sunflower). Lineage: Eukaryota; Viridiplantae; Streptophyta; Magnoliopsida; Asterales; Asteraceae. The record is from RNAcentral.